Molecule: ribosomal RNA, 496 nt
Filed under: uncultured bacterium
Lineage: Bacteria
Description: partial 16S ribosomal RNA
Rfam family: Bacterial small subunit ribosomal RNA
Source: RNAcentral
GAUGAACGCUGGCGGCGUGCCUAAUACAUGCAAGUCGAGCGAACAGAUGAGGAGCUUGCUCCUCUGACGUUAGCGGCGGACGGGUGAGUAACACGUGGAUAACCUACCUAUAAGACUGGGAUAACUUCGGGAAACCGGAGCUAAUACCGGAUAAUAUAUUGAACCGCAUGGUUCAAUAGUGAAAGACGGUUUUGCUGUCACUUAUAGAUGGAUCCGCGCCGCAUUAGCUAGUUGGUAAGGUAACGGCUUACCAAGGCAACGAUGCGUAGCCGACCUGAGAGGGUGAUCGGCCACCCUGGAACUGAGACACGGUCCAGACUCCUACGGGAGGCAGCAGUAGGGAAUCUUCCGCAAUGGGCGAAAGCCUGACGGAGCAACGCCGCGUGAGUGAUGAAGGUCUUCGGAUCGUAAAACUCUGUUAUUAGGGAAGAACAAAUGUGUAAGUAACUAUGCACGUCUUGACGGUACCUAAUCAGAAAGCCACGGCUAACUACGU